AUGGAUCCUCAUCCACUUGCUAAUCUCUUUAAGAGAUCUAAUUAUGAUGAACCUAUUGCUAGUGAACUUAGUGCACUAGAUUAUCUUUAUGAGGUUUUGCCUAAAAUUAGUGAAUCUAAAAAUUGUGAUGAAAUACUUUAUGAAGUGAUUCACGAUAGAUCUUUGAAUAAAAAGCAUGAUUGCAAUGAUUUUACUAUAAAUUCUAUUGAUGUCAAUUGUGCUAAAAAUAUGCAAAACCCUAAGCUUGGGGAUGCUAGUUUUGCUAUGUCCUCUACUUGUUGCAAUGAUCAUGAUUGGGGUGAUUCUUCUUAUGAUCUUGAAAAUUUAUUUGAUCCCCAUGAUGAAUAUGACAUUGAUAAUAUUGUUUGCAAUAAUAUUGAAAGUGGGUUUGGAAGAGUAUCAACUUUAGAUCCCACAUAUCUGGAUAAUGAUCAAUCUUAUGAAGUUUUUGAUAAAAGUGGGUUUGGAGAGGUCAUGACUUUAGUUAAUAUUAAUCCCACUAUUUCGAAAGAGUGCCAACUUCGCAUGCAUGUGGAUCGUGUUGAGAAUAUGUUAUGUGAUAGUUAUAUUGUUGAAUUUUCUUAUGAUCCUACAUGUAAUUAUUAUGAGAGAGGAAAAUAUGGUUAUAGAAAUUUUCAUGUUACUAAAUUACCUCUCGUUAUGUUAAGAUUGCUAUUGUUCCUUUCUGCUUCCUUGCAUAUGCUAGUUUUUGUUUGCUACGAUAAUUUGUUUUCCUAUAAUAUGCUUAUGCAUAGGAAGUAUGUUAGACUUAAGUGUGUUUGUCACAUGUUUUAUGAUGCUCUCUUUGUGCAUCAAUUCUUGUCUUUCUUGUGA
RNAcentral lists this ribosomal RNA (834 nucleotides) under Triticum aestivum (bread wheat). Its description in RNAcentral is "partial small subunit ribosomal RNA". Lineage: Eukaryota; Viridiplantae; Streptophyta; Magnoliopsida; Poales; Poaceae. The record is from RNAcentral.